RNAcentral lists this transfer RNA (72 nucleotides) under Tibeticola sediminis. It matches the Rfam family "tRNA". Rfam says of the family: Transfer RNA (tRNA) molecules are approximately 80 nucleotides in length. Their secondary structure includes four short double-helical elements and three loops (D, anti-codon, and T loops). The record is from Rfam by way of RNAcentral. Lineage: Bacteria; Pseudomonadati; Pseudomonadota; Betaproteobacteria; Burkholderiales; Comamonadaceae.
GGGUGAUUAGCUCAGUGGUAGAGCACUGCCUUCACACGGCAGGGGUCGCAGGUUCGAACCCUGCAUCACCCA